UUUUAAUUAAUUAAAGAAAGAAAAAAAACAAAAUGGAAAGGAAAUUGCAAAGCUUGAUCUUAAAUUCGAAAUUGGGCUAUGUAACGAGUAAGCCCAAAUCUUUCAAUAGCCCUUCUUCACUUAAACUAGCUCAUCUCCUUACCCAAUACAAGAAAAAAAAACCAUACUUGACCCAAAUAACCCUCUGACCCGCCCCAUUUUUCCCACCUACAAUUCUAACCUAGACCCUUAAGAUCAGUUGUUUCUCUUGGAUUUUUUGGACGGAACCAAGAUACAAAAAAACCCUAAGGUAUCAUCUUCUUCUUGGCCAUUUUUGAAGGUUGAAGCAAUGGGAAAUAAACCAAAUGGGAGGCCAAUCCCCAUCGUCACCCGCCUCUAACCAAAGACUGAACUUCUAAUGCUUGAACACCUAUCGGUAGCCAUUUUUAGGAUCUUCAACGAAAACAGCCGUGGCUGUUCACCCCAGCUCCCCGCCAUCACCGACCAGCCCGAACCAACAACAUCACGCCAUCCACGAGACGACAUCAUCCCUUCUCCAAAUAACCAGCGACCACCGGAUACUAUUUUCAGUCCAAACGAGAGCAGCAACAGUGAAAAGUUUCUUUUAUUUUCUUCUCGUUCUUUGGUUGUCAUCGAAAAGCAGUGGCAUUUCAGUUAAGUUCGAGUUCCGUAAAAGCCUGUUCACAGGUCUUUAGCUCCGUCCAUUGGGUUAGUUCAGUUCCGUUCGAGAUCACCGGUCGUGGUUCCUACGUUGUUGAUUUCAUUCCGGUUAGAUCUCUGUCGCAAAACUGGCUGCAUCGGCGAGAAAGGUAAUAUUAAACUUUGUACAAUUUUAGUCUACUACUUGUACUUAUCCAUGACAUGUGUAUAUCAAUUGAUUGUUGCAUAAUAUUUAUAUAUGACCAUGUGUUCAUGUUUGUGUAUGCUUGGCUCGGACUGUUUUUGCUUCACUAGUUUAAUUAGUGAAAAUUUUGAAGUGAUGCUGCUCUUUGUCAUACCUACUGGUUGUCUUCAUAUUUCAUUAAUCUUUAAAAUUAUUGAUAAAUUUUGGUGGGUUUGAAUCCAGUUUGGUUGAGUUUCCGGUUCCGUCCUUAAUUCGUUAUAUCUCGAGUUCAAAGUAGUAAAACAAUCAAUUGUCCAACUGUGUUAAGGUCCAAUCCUUUCAUCCUCUAUUCAUUUUAUUCAAGCUAAAUGUUAAUUGUUUGUUUGGUAUUGCGCCGUUGUUUGCGUAAUUGCUUUCCAUAGUUUUGACUUUGUUCUCUUAGCUAUCUGAUCGUAUAUAUUUACCCGAAUUGAUUAUAGCUGAACAUGAUUAUGUCAUACUAUAGAAAUUGGUUUGUUAUUCUUCAACUAAAUUAUGUCAAGUUAGAUAAAAGGGGCCCGGAUGUGCAUUUCAUGUGACCUGACUCCAAUUUCGAACAAGGUUAAAUAAUGCGUGUUGUGAACCACGGUGGCUUGCGAUAUGUUUUAAAUAACUUUGAAUUAAUUCCUCAAAUAAAUAAAAGCGGUUUUCAAAAGCUAAAAAAUGCACAUAGGGUCAAAAAUAAUUUUUUAAAAUUAGAUACUUAGGCCAAUUAUAAUAGUUGAGAGACCGUGCUAGAACCACGAAACCCGGGAAUGCCUAACACCUUCUCCCGGGUUAACAAAAUUCCUUACCCGAAUUUCUGCUCGCGGACUGUAACACAGAGUCAAUCUUUUCCUUGAUUCAGAAUUCGAAUCGGUGACUUGGGACACCAUAAAUCUCCCAAGUGAUGACUCUGAAUCUUUAAUAUAAAUAAUCCUAUUUCGAUUGUCCUUCAAUUGGAAAAACUUCCUUUUAUGCUCUUCCGGGGGUGUAGUGAAAAAGGAGGUGUGACAAAAGUAAGAAUACACGGAAGGCACAAGGCAUUCUAUAAUGAAGCAAUAAAAUCCAUUAAAAGCAGUAAACCAGUGAAAUCCAAUAAAAUCCUUUCUAAAAAUAAACAAGUAAUUAACAGACAAUUAAUGUAAGUUAAACUAACAGAAGUUCGCCCCCUUGGGAACAAUAUCAAUAAAUUCGCCCCUCGGGCAAAACUCAUAUCAUUUCCAGCUCCCCAGGCUCAAUCUCACAUCACAAUGGGUACCCACGCUCACUGGAGGUGUGCAGACUCUUGGAGGGUCCCCAUACAGCCCAAGUGCAAUAACAAGUCAUCUCGUGGCAUCAAAACUAGGCCAUCGGCAUUAUAUCAAUCAAGCCACCUCGUGGCGUACAUAUCUCAGGCCCUCGGAUUCAAGUCAGUAUCAGUGUUUCCUCACAACAUAGGCCCUCGCUCUCACUCAGUCAAAAAUAUUCACAAGCCCCUUGGGCAAUAGUAAAACAAUAUUUGUCAACCCAAACAUCAUUUAAAAUAUCAUUUAAGUAUUAAAAUUGAGUAAACUUGGCUGAGUAUGAAAACAACGGAAAAUAACAUGACUGAGUUUAAGUAAUAAGUCAAAACAGUGAGUAAAAUAUCAAUGAAAAGCCCCGAAGGAUUCAAAUAGUUGGCACUAGUUCCAAAUAUGACAUUCAACCCAGAUAAUGAUGAUAACAAAUAGUUUUAAAUCAAAUACGUGGUAAAAUCAUCAAUCAGGACGGACCAAAUCACAAUCCCUAAUAGUGUGCGACCCCACACUCGUCAUCAAGCGUGUGCCUCACCUCAACAUAGCACUACGAUGUGCAAUCCGGGGUUUCAAAUCCUUAGAACAUCAUUUACAAUCAUUACUCACCUCGAACCAGCUAAUUCUCUAGCUCGCGACGCCUUUGCCUCUCGAAACGGCCUCCGCGCACGUCGAAUCUAUCCAAAAUUAGAACGAAGCCCAAGCAAAAAUAAUCAAUAACGGGCAUAAAUCCCGAAAUUACCAAAACCCUGCUCCCGGGCCCACGUCUCAAAAUUAAACAAUUUUUACACCAAUAGAUUCCUUAUCUUCCCAUAAGUUCAUACAUAUCAAAAGUUCUCAAAUCCGACCCCUAAUGGUCCUUCGAAUCCCAAAAUCAAAGUCCAAAGUUCCAAGCCCUAGCUCUUCGGUUUUUAGCUUAAAUUUCAAUGAAUUUCUAAGUAGAAUUCACAUAAUUAUCGAGUUUUAAGUCAGAAAAUCUUACCUCUCAAUGAUUUCCAUUGAAUCCCUCUUCAAUCUCCUUUAAAAAUCUCCCAAAAUGACAAACUAUGGAGGAAAUGAACCCCAAAAUCGCGGACAAGACAAGUUAAAAACAUUUUGCCCAGGCAUGAAUUUUCUUCUUCACGAACGCGGUCAAACCCUCGCAUUUGCGAAGAACAAACUUACUUUGACCAAUUUUUCCUCUGUGCGAAUGCAUCGUGAGCAUAGCGAACGGGAUGGUUCCUCAAAUGGUUCCUCAACCUUACCCUCUGCGAACGCGUCGCAUACAUCGAGAACGCGAUGAGUAACUUGGCCCCAAACCAACUGAUAAAAGACCAUACGCAAACACGGCUUACCUCCUGCGAAUGCGAUGCCUCAAAUCACAAACCUUCACGAACGCGCCCUAGCCUCUCGCGAAUGUGAAGUUUACAAAUCCUGGACCUUCACGAAUGCGUGAGUACCCUUCGCGAAUGCGAAGGACAAACAUGACGCCUACCUUCCUAACCAUUCGCGAACGCGAAGACCAAAAUUUCUGCAACUGCUGGAACUCAAAAUCUACAACUUCCUUAAUUUAAAAAUGAUCUGAUUGACCAUCCGAAACUCACCCGAGGCCCCCAAGGACCUCAACCAAAAGCACCAACACAUUCCAAAACCUUAUUCAAACUUGUUCCAACUAUCAAAAAACCUCAAACAAUAUCAAAUCACCCAAAACACAUCGGAUUCAAGCCUAAGUUUUCUAAAACCUUCCGCAAUAUGCAUUUGAUUAAAAACCCAACCAAAUCACGUCUGAAUGAACUGAAAUUUUGCAUACACAUCCCAAAUGACAUAAAGAAGUUGCUGCAACUCUUAAAAUUCUAUUCUAACCCCAAAAUCAAAAUAUUGUUAUCAACCGGAAAUCGCCAAAAUAUCAACUUCGCCAAUUCAAGCCUAAAUCUACGCCGGACCUCCAAACCUAUUCUGAUCAUACUCAUAAGUCACAAAUCACCUCCGGAAGCUAACCGAACCAUCAGAACUUACAUCCGAGCCCUCUAACAAAUAAGUCAACAUCCGGUUGACUUUUCUAACUUAAACAUUCUUCAAAGAGACUAAGUGUCUCAAACUUCACCAAAAUCAUUCUGGAAUCAAACCAACCAACCCGAUACCACAAAAUACAGAUAACAAAGCACAAAGAAGAAGAUUGGGGGAUACAGAGCGGUAAAUCAUGAGGUGACUGGCCUGGUCGUCACAAUACAUAAAUGGUAAUUGGGUGUAUUAAAUAUAAUUAUAGUAAAACUUGAGUAGGAAGGAUAAUAUAAUUUCAUAAAGUGUAUAUGAAUGUAAAAAUUCCUUCCUUUUUAUUCUUCUUUUUCCAUAUAUCUUUCUGUUGGGAGAAGAGAAGAAAGAGAGAGGAUGUUCUGAAAAUAUCUUUUUCUUUUUUGGUGAAAAGAUGAUUUGUUUUCCUUUUUUUCUUUUACAUAUUAUACCGUUAUAAUUAAACUGGACUGCCUUUAACUUUUUAAAUAUCGCAGACUUAUAAAAGUUGCAUUCACAUAGAUUUAUAGAUAUAUUCUUUUAAAUUUAUUCUCCCUAAACUGCUUUGUCCAUUGUCACAUCUCCUUUUUUACACCCCGAGGGUGUAUAGGAGUUUUUUUAAUUUAAGUGAUAUUAUUCGAAAUGAGAUUAUUUAUUAUUUAUUUAGAGUCGCCAGUUGGGAUAAUUAUUUUGGUAUCCCAAGUCAUCGGUUUAUUUUUAAUCCCAAAUCAACAAAAAAUCGACUUUAUUUUAAAAAGUCUGCGAAUCAGAAAUUCUAGAUAAGAAAUUUUUUAACCCGGGAAAAGGUAUAAGGCAUUUUCAGGUUCCGUGUUUGUAGCACAGUCGCUUGAACUAUUAAUAAUUGGCCUAUUAUCUGAUUUACUACAUGUUUAAAACCUAUUGUGCCUUUUUAGCUUUAUACCCACUUUUAAUUGUUUUUGCUUUUAGGAAAAUUCAAUGCUAUUUAAAACACGUCUUAAACCAAGUUACAUGAAAUGCACAUGUGGUUCGCGAAAUGCUUUAUUUAAUAUUGUUGAAGAUUGAAAUUGUGUCACAUGAAAUGUCAUCCGGAUUUUAGUAAUUAAAAAUCACAACUACGUCACAGGAACCAUAUUCGUAGCUAUGAUGAAUUAUUUAAAUAACGCGCCUAAAGCAACUAUGUAGAUUUAAUUCUUAAUAGCAAUAUUUGUGAGGGCCAAUGAUUUAGGCACGCUUUCAAACCUUUUUCUAUAAGUGUUAGUUCUUAAUUAAAUCUUGCAAGGGCCAUGAAUUAUAAAUUUUGUUUGGCAUAGCCAACCUCACUUAUUUUAACAAAGGGGAGUUGCGUUUUUAUUUAAGUAAGGCUAAUAAUCCUAAUUGUAGUUCAAGAUAAGAAUUUUUUAACUUAAGGCUAGGCUUUUGAAUUAUUGCGGAACAGUUGUUUUGGGCCAGGACGUUCAGAAUUGGAUUGAAUCCAGAAAUACUCAGCUUCGAAAAGCUGGAUUUGGGGUCCAAAUUUGGGCCCACUAGAACGAGUAUUCCAAGGCUCUUGUCCCUAUUGGAAUUUGUUUGCCCACAUUGGGCUUCAGGCGGGUCCAGUUGUCAAGUUCUACCGGCUGGGCCUAUCCACCUUUGCAUUUUAAGCCCAAAUUAAAUAAACUAACACGACUUGUAAGACAUGCAUUUAUGAUGAAUUUGUAAUAGAAGAAUUUUUAAACUCAAGAUCAGAUUACCAGAUGUAAUGCCCAGGCUUAGUCGCCUGGGCCCAGACUUGUUUAGCUCGUACCCAGAUUUUGGCCCUGUUGCAAGUCUGUCCCAAUUACAUAUUGGACUAUAUUGAAAAAAUUCAUAUGCCAUGGACUUGAAACUACGAAUAAAAAAUAGUCAAAACUUAAACUUAAUAUAUUCCAGUAGUCUGUUUACUUAAUAAAAGUCCAUUUACAAUACUGAAAGUUCAUGAAUUAUACAAGGAGAAUUUCUAACUUGACAAUCCAUCAUUCUAACGGUCCAUUAUAGCUUACAUCUAAAAGAAAGAAAAAGAAAACUUUAAAAGGAAAUAAAAGGAAAUUUUCCUCUAGCUUCAAGUUCCUACCAUCAAAUUCUUCAAACCCACGUACAAGCUUUUAAGAAAUCAGCUACAGAGCUGCUUCUCACAAGUUGAUUUUCAAACUCCAACCCUGAAAUUUUUUACUGCCAAACUAGUUUUGUUUCCACUUAGAAUUUCAUGGAUCCGACCAUGUGAAAAGGUCAGACUCACAAAAUAUCUUUAGAUACACUAAUCUACUACAUUAUCUAACCAAAACUCAAAUAACCGAUGCAGAAAAAGCUGAGAUUCGUGGGUUUAAUCAUGUUAAGGGUCAAACCCAUGAAUCAAUAAGGGCUUCAAACCCAAAAUCAUGGUAUACUGCCUUAGCGCAAUACCUUAAUGGAAUAAAAGGGAAGGGAAAAGGUAUUUUAAUCCAUGAAUCUGACCAUGUACGUAUCAAACUCAAUGAACAAACCAAGUUUCAAAUAUGAGGGGUCUAAACAUACUAUCUAACUAAUGCAAGGAAAAGCAUACAUGCAUACCAGCCAAAAUAAUUGAAUGAUCAAUGCUAAAGUCAUAUAAAGAAACAAAUUAUCAUGAUAUAGAACCAAAUGGACAGAGACUCACAUUUUAGGAGAAAAAGCUUCAAUACUGUUGCAACUUCAGAAUACAAACCAUAGCAAGAAUGGCACAACAUAUAAACAUUGGCAAGCAAAGAAUAGGUUGUAUUCAUCUUAAAUUCCAUUACAAACACUUAAACAUGGAAAGAAUCAUGUGUACCUUGAACAUCAAUAGAAAAAUAACAAACAAGAUGAAAGAAGACUGUUGAAAACUCGAGAAGAAGGGUAGAAACAACAGUGAGCCAACACAGCUACAACCACCAGAUGAAUCUAAGAAUCUGAACCAAGUUUUAACCACCUUCCAAACCGAAUCCCAACUAAACAAACCCCAGAAAAUUCUUUAUUUCAAACCACUUCUAGCUUGUGAACAAAUGAGAAAAGUUUUGAAAAUCUUUCUAAGAUUUCUGAAAUCUGAAAAGGGAACUUUUAUGCAGUAAAGAUGAUGCUCUAGUUCUCUGUUUUUUAGAACUUUUAGGCAGAGAAUAAUGCUAAAUGAAUGUCUUUUUUAGAAUAAAAUAGCCUACAUAUAUAUAGGGGUGUGCAAUCGAUUCAUCGAUUCGAUUUUGACCUUAUCGAUAAUUACUUAUCGAUUAUCGAUUUGUACAUAUGCUUAUCGUUAUCGUUUCAAUAAGGUUUCGAUUUUUUCGGUUUCGAUUUAUCGAUUUUGGGGGCUUAUCGAUUCGGUUAUCGAUUACACCGAUAAGAAAAAUUUGCGGGAUUCAACGGAAAGUAUAUCGUUAUAAGCGCGCCUAACUUAUGAUUUAUCGAUUUUCAAUAAGGCAGAUUAAACCGAUUAGAAUGCACACCCCUAUAGAUUAGUUGUUAUUCAUCAGCCACGUUAUCAAUAUUAUCAUUUUCAGCCACAUUAAACGAAUGAAGAAUAUAACUUACAGUCUUAAAGACAAGCCCAACCUUCAGAGUAGCACAGUGCACACCUCUUGGUUCAAUCUUAAACACUUCUUGCUUCUAUUUUUGAACCUGAAUAACACUGAAGAUAACUAGUGUUAGGAAAGAGACGGUUUAUGGAUGGUUGUUCAAUUGCCUGUAAUGAAUGCACAUUCUCAUGGUGCCAUCCUUCUUCUUCAAAAAUAGAACUGAUGCAUACCAAGGUGACAUACUAGGCCAUUAUACCUUUGAUUAAUUUCAUGAAGUAAAUGUUUCAACUUGCGUAUUUUUCUGAGGCAUAUGAACAUAUGAUAAAAUAAAAGGAUACAUGGGAACUCAAAAAUAUAGAAACCUCUAUUAUUUCUAUAAAUAGAGUCAUUUAUGAAAGUUGUAUAUUACUCAUUUCACUUGUAUCAUAUGUAUCAUGCCAAAAAAAAGAGAAAGAAAUAGUUAUAAUAUACCUAAACCGAUUCAGUCAAUCGGUGAUCAAGAGACUUACAUAGAGAAAGAAUUUAUCCAUAGCAGCACAUGAAUUACCGAAUGGAGCAGAUUUCCAUUAAGGUAAAUGGAACGUCAACUUUUUGGCGUGAAAAAUACUACAUGUAAUAGUUUUAGGGAACUCAACUUCUAUAUCCCCCUAUUCUAUAGAGAAUGACACUAUACCAUAACACAAGGCUAUUUGAUGAGUUAAAUAUUUUUCUGCUUAAACCAAGAAUGAUAUAUAUAUACGUGGGCAAAAUCAUCAACGUAUAGCAGCUGAUCAGGUGGUGAUGUGUAUAUAACAACGUAAUCUUUUCCCAUAUCUCAUAUACAUAUAUCCGCGUAUAUAACGCCGUCUAAGUCAUGAAUAAAUGCGCAUGUAAAUGAAAGACAUGCAUGAAAAAUAUGUUAAUAAAACCUCCCUGAACGUCACACGGCCAUUAUACCUUUGAUUAAUUUCAUGAAGUAAAUGUUUUCAAACUUGCGUAUUUUUCUGAGGCACAUGAACAUAUGAUAAAAUAAAAGGAUACAUGGGUAUUAAAAAAUAUAGAAACCUCUAUUAUUUCUAUAAAAAGAGUCAUUUAUGAAAAUUGUGCAUUCCUCAUUUCACUUGUAACAUAUGGAUCAUGCCAAAAGAAAGAAAGAAAUAGUCAUAACAUAUCAAGAGACUUACAUAGAGAAAGAAUUUAUCCAUGCAGCACAUGAAUUACCAAAUGGAGCAGAUUUCCAUUAAGUAAAAGGAACGUCAACUUUUUGGGGUGAAAAAUAAAUACAUGUAAUAGUUUUAGGAACUCAACUUCUAUAUCCCCCUAUUCUAUAGAGAAUGACACUAUACCAUAACACAAGGCUAUUUGAUGAGUUAAAUGUUUUUUCUGCUUAAACCAAGAAUAUAUAUAUAUAUAUAAUAGACACAACAAAAGAACUUUGUGAUUAUAGGAUAAUUUUAUGAAAUUUUGAAAUACAUGAGUUAUCCAAAUUCCCAAUAAAAAUCGGCUGCGAUGACCCUCCGUAUUUAUACCUAUAUCUUUCUGUCAGAGAGUUAGUGUAGCCAGAAAUGUACAAAAAGAAUCCCAGAUGGAAAAGCCCUUCAUAGCUCCAGCAGUUUAAGGGAAGUUCGCUAGAAAUUCAAAAAGGAGAUCACAGUGCAAGCAUUGUGUGCAAUAUAUAAUCACUAGGAUAUUGGCAAAUCUACUCGGAAUACAGAAACCUCCAUAAACCGUCUCUUCACUAGUGUUAGGAAAGACUCAUAUGCGAAGCAGCGAAGGAAUAGGGUAGUAAUAGUAUUAUAAAAGAAGGUUAUAUUUGUCUUUUUAAUAUAUCUUAUCGAUUUAUCGAUAAAUCUAUAAACUGAAUGGCCAAAACCGAAAUCGAAUCGAUAAACCGAAAAAUUUUCGAAAUCGAAAUCGAUUCGAUAAACUGAUAAACCGAUAACAAAUAAUCGAUUCGAUUUAUAGAUAAACCGAUUCGAAUGCACACCCCUACAUAUAUAGGCUGCCUAGGGAAGGUAUAUUUUGGGGAAUAUUCCUUAUCCUAGAAUAAAAAUAGUAUUGUCCUUUUACAGCCCUUGGUACAGUUGUUCUAUAUUUUGGCAUCUUUCUAUAACAGCUAGGAUAGCUGUACAUUUUCCAGGAAGCUUUUGAUUUUUAGCCUAAGUGAAAGUCCAUUUUUACCCUUUAAACUACUGCCUAUUUCAAUUCUAUCCUAAACUUUUCUAUUUCAAUCAAGCCCCUACAAGUCUCUAAUGAUUUACAAAUUAUGGCAAACAGAGACAAAGCAAAAAGAAUCAGAAUCCAAAUCAAAAUCAAAAUGACAAAUAAAAAUGAGAUAAUGCAAUUUAAACCUAGAGUAUCAAGCUUUGAUUAUCUAGACUAAUCCGAAACUUAAACUAAACUUAGCAUGAAAUAGAUUCAUAAUGAAAUUAUUGAGAACCUAUUAAAAUCUCAUAAAAGGGAAAGAUGUUAAGCUUAUAAGUGAACAUGUUUAGAUGAUUCAAUUAGCAUGGACAAACAAAACAAGCAAUCAACACGGAAAGAAAAAAAACAAAUGCUGCAAUUUAUCCUAAAUCAUGCAAGCUAAACAGAAAAGAGAGAUGUUUAUGAAAGAAGAAACGAGAUAAACAAAAGAGAAACGGAAAAGAAAUUACCAAAGCUUGCUUCGAAUUGGACCAGUCAUGAACUCGGAUAAAUUUCGGUAGGGUAAAAUGAAAUUUAGACUAUCAUCAAUCGAUUUCUCUCAUCAAGAGCAAUCGAUUAAUGAAGGUCUUGGGUUAAAAUGACCCGAAAUUAAACAAAAAUUGUAGGCGGAAUAAAUUAUGGUUUUGAUCUUAGAUCCGAGAUUUGAGAAUUCCUAGGCUUGUUUGAAGGGAAUGGUUAUGGGAUAUGGAAAGAGGAAGAGAGGGUGAUUGUCUGGUGUUAAUUUGGUGUAUUUUAGAGCAAUUAGGGUUUUUUACCUUGAAUCGAAUUCCUGGCGGCGAUUUGAAAGAAACGGAUUUGAGAUUUAGCAUUAGGAGGAAUGGGGGUUUCAGGGUGUAAAUAUAGGGGAGAUUGGUGGUGGUCUGAUGCCGUGAGGUGAUUUAAUUUUCGGCCGGCGGACUACAGCGGAGAAGGACGGAGCCGGAAAGGUAUCUUAGGGCGGAUAGGGUUCGUAGAUUGAGAGAGAUGAUAGACUAAAUGAGGGGGUAAUGGGUUCGGGGGUAUGAAUUUGGGGGAGGUUGGUGGUGGUCCGCCGCCUUGAGGCGAUUUCCGGUCGGCGGACCGUGGCAGAGGAAGGCAGAGUUGGCGAGGUAUUUUAGGGCGGCUACGAUUCGAAAGUUGAGAGAGAUGAAAAAUUGAAUAGGGGGUAAGGGGGUUAGGGGUCUUGUUCGGACAGUUAAAUAUU
Molecule: long non-coding RNA, 10971 nt
Filed under: Nicotiana benthamiana
Lineage: Eukaryota; Viridiplantae; Streptophyta; Magnoliopsida; Solanales; Solanaceae
Description: long non-coding RNA (NBEN_LNC040776)
Source: RNAcentral